This is a small nucleolar RNA of Suncus etruscus (white-toothed pygmy shrew), 137 nucleotides long. The record is from RefSeq and is a predicted model, not a curated record. NCBI's taxonomy places the organism in Eukaryota, Metazoa, Chordata, Mammalia, Eulipotyphla, Soricidae.
AAGCACUGCCUUUGAAACUUGAUGUGUCUUGUUUAUAGCUUCAUGGGCCAAGCAACAGUGCUAGAGCAUAAGGCCUUGUUAUAACUGGAGCUCUUCAGCUUGCAACUGAACUACUCUUUUAAAACUAAGGUAUAUUU